Molecule: ribosomal RNA, 372 nt
Filed under: uncultured organism
Description: bacterial SSU rRNA
Rfam family: Bacterial small subunit ribosomal RNA
Source: RNAcentral
CGUAGGGGGCUAGCGUUGUCCGGAAUCAUUGGGCGUAAAGCGCGCGUAGGCGGCCCGGUAAGUCCGCUCUGAAAGUCCAGGGCUCAACCCUGGAAAGCGGGUGGAUACUGCCGGGCUAGAAUCCGGAAGAGGCGAGUGGAAUUCCUGGUGUAGCGGUGGAAUGCGCAGAUAUCAGGAGGAACACCAAUAGCGAAGGCAGCUCGCUGGGACGGUAUUGACGCUAAGGCGCGAAAGCGUGGGGAGCAAACAGGAUUAGAUACCCUGGUAGUCCACGCCGUAAACGAUGGGCACUAGGUGUGGGAGGUGUCGACUCCUCCCGUGCCGACGCUAACGCAUUAAGUGCCCCGCCUGGGGAGUACGGCCGCAAGGCUA